Molecule: non-coding RNA, 135 nt
Filed under: Filamoeba nolandi
Lineage: Eukaryota; Evosea; Variosea
Source: RNAcentral
GUUACUCCAUCUGUGACCCCUACCCCCUCUGUAACUGCAACGCCCUCAGUGACACCAACUCCCUCCCUCACCCCAACCCCCUCUGUGACUCCAACCCCAUCAGUCACACCUACUCCAUCUGUGACUCCUUCAACC